AAAAUUUUAGGUUAAUUUAAACUCUAAACCUUCAAAGUUUACAAUAUUUAUUUAAAUAAAUUUUA
Molecule: transfer RNA, 65 nt
Filed under: Encyrtus eulecaniumiae
Lineage: Eukaryota; Metazoa; Arthropoda; Insecta; Hymenoptera; Encyrtidae
Description: tRNA-Trp
Source: RNAcentral